Molecule: long non-coding RNA, 695 nt
Organism: Cucurbita moschata (crookneck pumpkin)
Lineage: Eukaryota; Viridiplantae; Streptophyta; Magnoliopsida; Cucurbitales; Cucurbitaceae
Exons: 2
Source: RefSeq, a predicted model, not a curated record
AGCUUUUGAGGGGAAAAGGAAGGGAUAGGUGAUUGGACAGCAGCAAUGAGAGUUCCUUAUAUCUCUCAUUUAUAAACUCUUUAAGCCUCUUCCUCUUGCACCACAUGCACUUCCCUUUGAGUUCUGGGCAGCAGGGGUGGGGAUCCAAGUUGUCUUUCUCGCAGUGGUACACAAAGCCAUAGAUUGGCUUUUUGCAGGCGUCGCAGUUCCCUUUGCAUCCCCGUGGUGGCAGGCUCUCGGUGGGGUUCUAAGGAAUUUUAAGGUGUAAGGUUUCAGGUACAACUUCGGCUACAGUUCAUGCUCUGGAUGGCUUGGAUUGAUCGCCAUUUCUUUGUGAUACCUUAAAGAGAGAGAAUUGUGACUAUGUGGAUUGAGAAGAUUGCAGGAAGAGCAGGGAAGUCAUCUAGGGAAGUCAUUUGGGGAGCUUGAAGGCUUUUUGGUUUGAUUUGCUUCUUAAGCGGAUCUGCUAAUCCGAGUGUUUGCCUAGACCCUUUGCAUCUGUUUCCAGCUUGAUACGAACCCGGACUUGAAAUUGUCAUACCACUCGUAGGCAAGACCGUUAAUUCUCCUAAACCUUUCUAACUCAUCUUCUUCCUGAACUUCUAUUACUUGACCUGAACUUUACAGUCGAGUAAACGAACAAAAUCCUGAACAUGAACAAAAAUACGAGUCAAUGAAAUCCUCAACCUUGUAAA